UUUAUUACUAUUCUGUGUCUUAUUUUUAACUUUAGAAAUGUAGCACAGUUGACAUAGUGCUAAUAUACGAUCCAUUUAUCAAAUGCUUAUCAUCUAUGCAGCUGCUUCAAACAGGUUUCAUUUUUUGCACAUAGUUUAACUGCAUUUUAUUUCUGAAUUGUAGAUAUAACAUUUCCAUGGCUUUGAUUAAGUUGAUGAGUGAGGAUGAUAAGUUGGAGUUGAGUAGAGGAUUACUGGUUUAAGCAGAAUGCUGACAAACAAUGGUAGAAACAGUGAAGUGCCAAAAGUGAUGGAACAAAAGAAACAGUGGAGCAACCAAAAGCAGCUGAUUAUCCAACUAGGUGAUUUCCACUCUGUACUGAGUUCAAAUCCUGCCAAAUUCAACUUCACCUUCAUCCUUUUAUGCGCCUAAGGUAUAUCCAGAUACACUCCUACUUUACUGCAUGCAUUGUGUUCAUAUGUGUGUAUGUAUGUGUGUUCUGUAAUCUUUGAUCAUAAAUGUAUUAUUUCACUAUAA
This is a long non-coding RNA of Octopus bimaculoides (California two-spot octopus), 517 nucleotides long. NCBI's taxonomy places the organism in Eukaryota, Metazoa, Mollusca, Cephalopoda, Octopoda, Octopodidae. The record is from RefSeq and is a predicted model, not a curated record.